UAGGUGACAAGCGUUGUCCGGAUUUACUGGGUGUAAAGGGAGCGCAGGCCGCCUUUUAAGCGUGUUGUGAAAUGUCCCGGCUCAACCGGGUCACUGCAGCGCGAACUGGAAGGCUUGAGUACGCUGUAGGUAGGCGGAAUUCGUGGUGUAGCGGUGAAAUGCUUAGAUAUCACGAAGAACUCCGAUUGCGAAGGCAGCCUACCAUCGCGUGACUGACGCUGAGGCUCGAAAGUGCGGGUAUCGA
RNAcentral lists this ribosomal RNA (244 nucleotides) under uncultured bacterium. RNAcentral's name for it is "partial 16S ribosomal RNA". It matches the Rfam family "Bacterial small subunit ribosomal RNA", at positions 528 to 771 of the family's 1533-position model. The record is from RNAcentral.